This is a long non-coding RNA of Malaclemys terrapin pileata, 539 nucleotides long. RefSeq lists it as uncharacterized. Lineage: Eukaryota; Metazoa; Chordata; Testudines; Emydidae. The record is from RefSeq and is a predicted model, not a curated record. The transcript is spliced from 3 exons.
GGCUACAGAAACUGUGGAAUUUACAUAGAGCUGUCAGCUAACUCCUCUAAACUGGGAUUUUGUUUCAGUUAAUGAGAGAAUGAGGCAACACUUACUGAGAGUGGAAGUGGCAGCCAUAAAGUCUUCUAUAAAACAGGUCUUUUUUUUAAGCUAUAUACUUAACGGAGUGGUUGGUUAAUUGGUUAGCUGACUAGCUAACAGUGAUUUCAGCAGAGGAGGAGGAAGAGUCUGCAUGGAUUCCAGCUGAAAAUCUCUACAAGCAAAUGAAGGGAAGAUGUUGCUUUUGACUCAUCAGACUGUAGAGAUUUGGUGAAUAAAGACGCUAACUGAGAUUCAGGUGAACUAAACCUAAGCUUUUGGGAACUAAGAUUUUUCUCAGUGUGUUUCUGUACAGACUGACCUGUUUAGAUUUAAUUUGUUUUCUUUAUCUUCACAGUUACACAUAAAUAAUGUACAUGGCUUAUAAAGUAGCCAUGUUGCAUUGUAAAAUUAUUAUUUAUGUUUCUUUAGCAUAAGAUUUUAUAAAGUUGGAAUUUAAG